GGUCAGUGUGGGUCAUUUGGGUUAUUGGGGUCAUUGGGGUCUAUAAGGCUCCUUUGGGUUAAAGGGGUCAGUGGGGUCAAUGGGGAUCAUUGGGGUCAGUUGGAUUAUGGGGUUCAUGUGAGGUCACUGGGGUCACUGGGUCAAAGGGGUCAAUGGGGUCAGUGGGGCCAAUGGGGUUAUUGCAGGCCAGAAGGGUUUGGGCUUCCAAGCAAUCACCAAGCUUUUGGAUGAGCCAGCCCUCUGCUUUUUGUGAGGACAGACCCCAACGAGCCCACAGAACCCGAAUAACCUCCUUGACCCCCACAGACAAGUCCUCCUUGGAAAGCCAUCUCGGCAAGGGCAGAAUAGCGCUGUUCUUGGGCCGCAGCACUCCAUGGCC
Molecule: long non-coding RNA, 379 nt
Filed under: Gallus gallus (chicken)
Lineage: Eukaryota; Metazoa; Chordata; Aves; Galliformes; Phasianidae
Description: lncRNA (ENSGALG00010028944.1)
Source: RNAcentral